RNAcentral lists this non-coding RNA (24 nucleotides) under Arabidopsis thaliana (thale cress). The record is from RNAcentral. Lineage: Eukaryota; Viridiplantae; Streptophyta; Magnoliopsida; Brassicales; Brassicaceae.
AUCGCCGAAAACUCUGACCAAAAC